GACGAACGCUGGCGGCGUGCUUAACACAUGCAAGUCGAACGAAGAGCGAUGGAAGCUUGCUUCUAUCAAUCUUAGUGGCGAACGGGUGAGUAACGCGUAAUCAACCUGCCCUUCAGAGGGGGACAACAGUUGGAAACGACUGCUAAUACCGCAUACGACCUAAUCUCGGCAUCGAGGAUGGAUGAAAGGUGGCCUCUAUUUAUAAGCUAUCACUGAAGGAGGGGAUUGCGUCUGAUUAGCUAGUUGGAGGGGUAACGGCCCACCAAGGCGAUGAUCAGUAGCCGGUCUGAGAGGAUGAACGGCCACAUUGGGACUGAGACACGGCCCAGACUCCUACGGGAGGCAGCAGUGGGGAAUCUUCCGCAAUGGACGAAAGUCUGACGGAGCAACGCCGCGUGAGUGAUGACGGCCUUCGGGUUGUAAAGCUCUGUUAAUCGGGACGAAAGGCCUUCUUGCGAACAGUUAGA
This 467-nucleotide ribosomal RNA is filed under the name Veillonella dispar. Its description in RNAcentral is "bacterial SSU rRNA". It matches the Rfam family "Bacterial small subunit ribosomal RNA", at positions 28 to 472 of the family's 1533-position model. The record is from RNAcentral. Lineage: Bacteria; Bacillati; Bacillota; Negativicutes; Veillonellales; Veillonellaceae.